This is a long non-coding RNA of Prionailurus viverrinus (fishing cat), 415 nucleotides long. RefSeq lists it as uncharacterized. NCBI's taxonomy places the organism in Eukaryota, Metazoa, Chordata, Mammalia, Carnivora, Felidae. The record is from RefSeq and is a predicted model, not a curated record. The transcript has 4 exons.
CAGACACCAACCAGCUGCCUCUAGGAGGAAAUGGCAAAUCCUGGCUGAGCAGGGCUGUCAGAUCAGCCCACAUCGCCUCGCCCACUUGGUGGUUGCCUAUCUCCACUUGGCAGAUUUUGCAAGGAAGAUUAUGCAGAAUUCCAACCAGCAGACCUACACUCUAAGAUGUUGUCCUCACAGCAAGUUUGCUCUGUUACCCACAGUUCCCGCAUGCAGCUUUGGUGUGACUCAGCCCUGUGUCCCAGAGUGAGCCCUCCGUGACAGUGGGCCAGGUGAGAGAUGGCGCAUGCAGAAGGAGGUGGCUCCCAAAGAAGCUCCAGGGGCGGAGGUGCAGGCAGGAAGCAGGCGUAGACAGAGCCUUCAUUCUGUUCCUGAGGAAGAAAUAGUAUCCUGAAGGAGUCCAGAAAAGUUGGAC